This 441-nucleotide ribosomal RNA is filed under the name uncultured bacterium. Its description in RNAcentral is "bacterial SSU rRNA". It matches the Rfam family "Bacterial small subunit ribosomal RNA", at positions 338 to 795 of the family's 1533-position model. The record is from RNAcentral.
CCUANGGGGGGCAGCAGUGGGGAAUAUUGGACAAUGGGCGCAAGCCUGAUCCAGCAAUGCCGCGUGAGUGAAGAAGGCCUUAGGGUUGUAAAGCUCUUUCGGCGGGGACGAUGAUGACGGUACCCGCAGAAGAAGCCCCGGCUAACUCCGUGCCAGCAGCCGCGGUAAUACGGAGGGGGCUAGCGUUGUUCGGAAUUACUGGGCGUAAAGGGCGCGUAGGCGGCGCGAUAAGUUGGGCGUGAAAGGCCCGGGCUCAACCCGGGGACUGCGCUUGAUACUGUCGCGCUGUGAGUCCGGGAGAGGAUGGCGGAAUUCCCAGUGUAGAGGUGAAAUUCGUAGAUAUUGGGAAGAACACCGGUGGCGAAGGCGGCCAUCUGGACCGGCACUGACGCUGAGGCGCGAAAGCGUGGGGAGCAAACAGGAUUAGAUACCCUUNUANUC